Molecule: ribosomal RNA, 357 nt
Filed under: Triticum aestivum (bread wheat)
Lineage: Eukaryota; Viridiplantae; Streptophyta; Magnoliopsida; Poales; Poaceae
Description: partial small subunit ribosomal RNA
Source: RNAcentral
GGAGCAGUCGCAGCUGUGUGUUGGGAUCAAACUGGCUUCUAUUUAGGGUCAUCGGCGGUGGUUUUUUGGGGAAUCAACGACCCUCUAAUCUUGGAGACUUACACAUGCCGAGAAGCCUUGGCAUUAGCAGAUGACCUCGCGACCCAGAAAAUUUGUGUGGCUUCGGAUUGCCAGGAGGCGAUCAAUGAUAUCAAUAGAGGGACAGGAGGUCCUAAUGCUUCAAUAGUACAUGAAAUAACAACCCACGGUACUAGUUUUAUUUCCAGUUCUUUCAUACAUGAGCGUAGGAACUUUAAUAUUGAGGCUCAUAAUCUCGCCAAGUUUGCAUGUAAUCUUGCAGUAGGUAGACAUGUUUGA